GUGCUCACCUCGGCAGCACAUAUACCCAAACUGGAAUGAUACAGAGAAGGCUAGCAUUGUCCCCCUGCAAGGAUGAUAUCCAAACUUGUGAAGCAUUCCGUAUUUUU
Small nuclear RNA from Neogale vison (American mink), 107 nucleotides. The record is from Ensembl. NCBI's taxonomy places the organism in Eukaryota, Metazoa, Chordata, Mammalia, Carnivora, Mustelidae.